GCCCAACAGCUAGCCUACCCUAAAAAAUCAACACCCCCUAUUAAUACCCCCAAAUACACCCCAUGAACAAAACAAAACAUUUUUCCUCCCUAGUACGGGCGACGGAAAAGGAACUAAGAGCAAUAGAGAAAGUACCGCAAGGGAAAGCUGAAAGAGAAAUGAAAUAACCCAGUAAAGCCCAAAAAAGCAGAGAUAUAACCUCGUACUUU
RNAcentral lists this ribosomal RNA (209 nucleotides) under Neoglyphidodon melas (bowtie damselfish). RNAcentral's name for it is "partial 16S ribosomal RNA". Lineage: Eukaryota; Metazoa; Chordata; Actinopteri; Pomacentridae. The record is from RNAcentral.